RNAcentral lists this long non-coding RNA (1551 nucleotides) under Volvox carteri. RNAcentral's name for it is "long non-coding RNA (VCAR_LNC001214)". The record is from RNAcentral. Lineage: Eukaryota; Viridiplantae; Chlorophyta; Chlorophyceae; Chlamydomonadales; Volvocaceae.
UCCGUGUAGGUCGACCUCUCAGACAUUUACGUAGUUUUAGUUUACGUAGUUGGCUCCGGCUUUAUCCGGGGCUCAUAACCUGUUAUAAAUGGUAACUAUGCUGAUGUUUGAUCACAUAUUGCAUACAACCUUAGCACAACGUUGUGUUGCAAGAUAAGCAGAUAAACGCCAGAACUAAUAAAGGCAAGAGCCCAGAGAUGCCGUGCAAUCUGCACGGCAUGGUACCGAAACCAGUUUGCUCAGAGGGCUGACGGCCACAACCUCAGUGGCAGGUGAUUGAAGCGAAGCAGUGGAUCCCCAUAUGGCAUAACGAGGCCGAACUGUUUUACAAGGAGAGACCAGAGCGCACCGGUGCCCUACGCAAGCCAGUACCGCGACAAUGACAGCAAUGGUGGAGAAGGCGGAGAGAUGGAUGCUGAGAACAAUGACGACGCUGUAAAUAUGCCUUCCAAGGGCUGUGCUGGCGGAGUGGUAAUGAUGGCGCUCAUCUGAUUGAUACUCAUGACCUUGUAGAAGCUGGAGUACAUAAGUAUGACACACCCCUUGUGGACAGCAAGCGCGUCUCCAUACUGUUGAUGUUGUUACAGGGUGGUUAAGCUUCACCAGUGGCCUCCUUCCCGAGGCAAUUCCCUGCUCUCCCCUGCUAGAGGGGCACCCUAAGCCAUUCACCCCAUCCGACUUCAGAGUGUACUCUAUGAGUUUGGCAACUCACCACCAGCAUCCAACCAAAUCUAGCGGAUCAACGGCGCGUCAACUUAGUUCCUGGUCAGCUCGCGAGUUGAUUUUAUCACGUCCUACACCGUCCACAAGAUGGGGGGUCACCUCCCAUUUCAUCACCUCUCAAACACCCCGAGAGGUCGGCAGGCUGAUUUGAACCCGGACGCGCCGGGACGCGCCGGGAGCAGAAGCCAGGCCUUAACCUCUGCCAGCCGCCUGUCUGUUGUAUGCAGACGAUGUUAGUCUGCUAGCGACGUCACUAGAGCGAAUGUCUGAGUUGCUAUAUUUUGUGGACUUAGGGUCUUGUGGACAAACCCUAAGUGCAAAGUCCGAGCAAUUCUGUUGUAUGGCUGCCAGGCAUGGGGCCCUUUUGUGCUGGCAGAGGUUGUGGACAUGGCGGGAAGGCGGCGGGAUAAAGCCAACCUUGCGGAGGGUAUGUUUGAAGCCUGCUUGAAGGAUAGCGCAGUCCAGCUUCAGAUUUUAUUCAUGAGGCUGGUAGUGAUUGCGGCACAGCGAUCCCACAGGCUGUUGAUGUUGUUACAGGGUGGUUAAGCUACACCAGUGGCCUCCUUCCCGAGGCAAUUCCCUGCUCUCCCCUGCUAGAGGGGCAUCCUAAUCCAUUCACCCCAUCCGGCUUCAGAGUGUACUCUUUGAGUUUGGCAACUCACCACCAGCAUCCAACCAAAUCUAGCGGAUCAAUGGUGCAUCAACUUAGUUCUUGGUCAGCUCACAAGUUGAUGUUAUCGCGUCCUACACCGUCCAGAAGAUGGGGGUUCACCUCCCAUUUCACCACCUCUCAAACACCCGAGAGGUCGGCAGGCGGAUUUGCACCCG